Molecule: ribosomal RNA, 399 nt
Filed under: Alexandrium tamarense
Lineage: Eukaryota; Dinophyceae; Gonyaulacales; Pyrocystaceae
Description: LSU rRNA
Rfam family: Eukaryotic large subunit ribosomal RNA
Source: RNAcentral
GCGUCAGCACACCAGGACCAUGAGGGACAUAUGAAAAGGACUUUGAAAAGAGAAUUAAAUGAGUUUGUAUUUGCUAAACACAAAGUAAACAGACUUGAUUUCCUCAGUGAGAUUGUAGUGCUUGCUUGACAAUGGGUUUUGGCUGCAAGUGCAAUAAUUCUUGCUUUGUGUGCCAGUUUUUAUGUGGACAUUUGAUUACCUUUGCACAUGAAUGGUAAUUUUCCUGCGGGGUGUGGAUUGCAUAUGCAUGUAAUGAUUUGCAUGUUUGUUAAAUGUGUCUGGUGUAUUUGUUUGUGUCCUUGUCCUUGAGGUUGCUUUCUCCCUUGGGCUUACAUGCCCUGGCACACACAUUCUGGCAAAAUGCUUCUGCUUGACCCGUCUUGAAACACGGACCAAGAA